RNAcentral lists this ribosomal RNA (378 nucleotides) under uncultured bacterium. RNAcentral's name for it is "bacterial SSU rRNA". It matches the Rfam family "Bacterial small subunit ribosomal RNA", at positions 29 to 410 of the family's 1533-position model. The record is from RNAcentral.
AUUGAACGCUGGCGGCAUGCCUUACACAUGCAAGUCGAACGGUAACGCGGGGCAACCUGGCGACGAGUGGCGAACGGGUGAGUAAUACAUCGGAACGUGCCCAGUAGUGGGGGAUAGCCCGGCGAAAGCCGGAUUAAUACCGCAUACGACCUACGGGUGAAAGCAGGGGAUCGCAAGACCUUGCGCCAUUGGAGCGGCCGAUGUCAGAUUAGGUUGUUGGUGGGGUAAAGGCCUACCAAGCCGACGAUCUGUAGCUGGUCUGAGAGGACGACCAGCCACACUGGGACUGAGAUACGGCCCAGACUCCUACGGGAGGCAGCAGUGGGGAAUUUUGGACAAUGGGCGCAAGCCUGAUCCAGCCAUGCCGCGUGCGGGAAG